CCUACGGGGGGCAGCAGUGGGGAAUAUUGGACAAUGGGGGCAACCCUGAUCCAGCCAUGCCGCGUGUGUGAAGAAGGCCCUCGGGUUGUAAAGCACUUUCAGUGAGGAAGAACGCCUGGUGGUUAAUACCCAUCAGGAAAGACAUCACUCACAGAAGAAGCACCGGCUAACUCCGUGCCAGCAGCCGCGGUAAUACGGAGGGUGCGAGCGUUAAUCGGAAUUACUGGGCGUAAAGCGCGCGUAGGUGGCUUGAUAAGCCGGUUGUGAAAGCCCCGGGCUCAACCUGGGAACGGCAUCCGGAACUGUCAAGCUAGAGUGCAGGAGAGGAAGGUAGAAUUCCCGGUGUAGCGGUGAAAUGCGUAGAGAUCGGGAGGAAUACCAGUGGCGAAGGCGGCCUUCCGGACUGACACUGACACUGAGGUGCGAAAGCGUGGGUAGCAAACAGGAUUAGAUACCCUAGUAGUC
This 465-nucleotide ribosomal RNA is filed under the name Vreelandella stevensii. RNAcentral's name for it is "partial 16S ribosomal RNA". It matches the Rfam family "Bacterial small subunit ribosomal RNA", at positions 338 to 795 of the family's 1533-position model. The record is from RNAcentral. Lineage: Bacteria; Pseudomonadati; Pseudomonadota; Gammaproteobacteria; Oceanospirillales; Halomonadaceae.